GAUGAAGAACGUAGCGAAAUGCGAUAAGUAAUGUGAAUUGCAGAAUUCAGUGAAUCAUCGAAUAUUUGAACGCACAUUGCGCCCGCCAGUAUUCUGGCGGGCAUGCCUGUUCGAGCGUCAUUUCAACCCUCAGGCCCCGCCUGGCGUUGGGGAUCGGCGCGGCCCUCUCCGGGCUGCCGGCCCCGAAAACUAGUGGCGGUCUCGCUGUAGUCCUCCUCUGCGCAGUAGCAACGCUCGCACUGGAACUCGGCGCGGCCACGCCGUAAAACACCCCACUUCUGAAAGUUGACCUCGGAUCAGGUAGGAAUACCCGCUGAACUUAAGCAUAUCAAUAAGCGGAGGA
RNAcentral lists this unclassified non-coding RNA (343 nucleotides) under soil metagenome. RNAcentral describes it as "partial contains 5.8S ribosomal RNA, internal transcribed spacer 2, and large subunit ribosomal RNA". The stretch from base 1 to 120 matches the Rfam family "5.8S ribosomal RNA", at positions 35 to 154 of the family's 154-position model. The record is from RNAcentral.